GAGCCUACCAUUAUUGUACAUAGUGCUGAUCUCUACUGCUGCUGGAUCUCUGUUGAUUGUAGUUGCAGUCGUGAUGUGCUGCAUCUGCAGGAAAUGUAGAAAAACAGUCCAAACCAAUGAAGAAGACUCUGAUUCAGCAUUGUAUAAACCUAAAACACACAAAAAGAAAUCAAAGACAAAUGCUGUGUAUGAAAAUGUCCCUAAAAAACGAUGAUCAAAUACGGUCUACUGGAACUGAUGAUAAAGCUCAUACAGGAAACUGCCUCACACAUUUUGGUUUAGUUCACAUUUAUUCUCCACCCAGACAGCUCAGUUUUAUUUAACCUAUCUUUUGAUUUCAUUUAGUUUUUUGUAUAUAUAAUUUUGAAUGACUGUGUGCCUCUCUUAAGUUGUUAUUUUGAUUUCCAAAAUAUUAUUGCUUUAAUUUGAUGCCUCACAAAUCACACAGUAUUCAGAAACUUUACUAAACGUUCUAUUGUAUGGAAAUGUAGUUUUUUUAUAAAAAUGAUUCCACCCUUCAGCGUGCCCUUUUGUCUGUCAUUUAUGGCUCUUAAUUUAUUCUUAUUAGACAAUUUCACUGAACAUUAAAGGGUUAGUUCACCCAAUAAUCGACUUUAUUCAUCAUUGUCUUCUCUUCCAU
Long non-coding RNA from Carassius gibelio (silver crucian carp), 640 nucleotides. RefSeq lists it as uncharacterized. The transcript is spliced from 3 exons. The record is from RefSeq and is a predicted model, not a curated record. NCBI's taxonomy places the organism in Eukaryota, Metazoa, Chordata, Actinopteri, Cypriniformes, Cyprinidae.